This 157-nucleotide ribosomal RNA is filed under the name Cyanodermella banksiae. Its description in RNAcentral is "5.8S ribosomal RNA". It matches the Rfam family "5.8S ribosomal RNA". Rfam says of the family: 5.8S ribosomal RNA (5.8S rRNA) is a component of the large subunit of the eukaryotic ribosome. It is transcribed by RNA polymerase I as part of the 45S precursor that also contains 18S and 28S rRNA. The record is from RNAcentral. Lineage: Eukaryota; Fungi; Ascomycota; Lecanoromycetes; Ostropales; Stictidaceae.
AAACUUUCAACAACGGAUCUCUUGGCUCUGGCAUCGAUGAAGAACGCAGCGAAAUGCGAUAAGUAAUGUGAAUUGCAGAAAUCGUGAAUCAUCGAAUCUUUGAACGCACAUUGCGCUCUUCGGCAUUCCGAAGAGCAUGCCUGUUCGAGCGUCAUUA